Molecule: ribosomal RNA, 1184 nt
Filed under: uncultured organism
Description: bacterial SSU rRNA
Rfam family: Bacterial small subunit ribosomal RNA
Source: RNAcentral
GAUUAAUCCCUCAUAAUAUUUUUGAAAGGCAUCUUUUAAAAAUUAAAGUUUCGACGGUUAUUGAUGGGCAUGCGUGGCAUUAGUUUGUUGGUGAGGUAACGGCUCAUCAAGACAUCGAUGCCUAGGGGGCCUGAGAGGGUGAUCCCCCACACUGGUACUGAGACACGGACCAGACUCCUACGGGAGGCAGCAGUAAGGAAUAUUGGGCAAUGGACGAAAGUCUGACCCAGCCAUGCCGCGUGCAGGAUGACGGCCCUAGUGGUUGUAAACUGCUUUUAUACGGGAAGAAAAGUUCCAACGUGUUGGAAUGUGACUGUACCGUAUGAAUAAGCAUCGGCUAACUCCGUGCCAGCAGCCGCGGUAAUACGGAGGAUGCAAGCGUUAUCCGGAUUCAUUGGGUUUAAAGGGUGCGUAGGCGGAUUGGUAAGUCAGUGGUGAAAUCCUCUCGCUUAACGGGAGAAUUGCCGUUGAUACUAUCAAUCUUGAGUACACUUGAAGUGGGCGGAAUGUGUCAUGUAGCGGUGAAAUGCAUAGAUAUGACACAGAACACCGAUUGCCAAGGCAGCUCACUAAAUUGUAACUGACGCUGAGGCACGAAAGCGUGGGGAGCAAACAGGAUUAGAUACCCUGGUAGUCCACGCUGUAAACGAUGAUCACUAGCUGUUGGGCGAUACACUGUCAGCGGCUGAGCGAAAGUAUUAAGUGAUCCACCUGGGGAGUACGAUCGCAAGGUUGAAACUCAAAGGAAUUGACGGGGGCCCGCACAAGCGGAGGAGCAUGUGGUUUAAUUCGAUGAUACGCGAGGAACCUCACCUAGGCUUAAAUGCUUUUUGACCGUCCUGGAAACAGGAUUUCCCUUCGGGGCAAAUUGCAAGGUGCUGCAUGGUUGUCGUCAGCUCGUGCCGUGAGGUGUCGGGUUAAGUCCCAUAACGAGCGCAACCCCUAUUCUUAGUUGCCAUCAGGUAAUGCUGGGAACUCUAAGGAAACUGCCUACGCCCCUAGUGAGGAAGGUGGGGAUGACGUCAAAUCAGCACGGCCCUUACGCCUAGGGCUACACACGUACUACAAUGGCCAGCAUAGUGGGUUGCUACCUGGUAACAGGAUGCUAAUCUCUAAAUCUGGUCUCAGUUCGGAUUGAAGUCUGCAACUCGACUUCAUGAAGUUGGAUUCGCUAGUAAUCGCGC